ACGACGCUGGCGGCAUGCCUAACACAUGCAAGGUCGAACGGGGGUAGCAAUACCCUAGUGGCGAACGGGUGAGUAACACAUAAGCAAUCUGCCCUUCACAGGGGGAUAACAGCGGGAAACUGCUGCUAAUACCGCAUAAGACCACGGUACCGCAUGGUACAGGGGGUAAAAACGAAUCAGUGGUGAAGGAUGAGCUUAUGUCCCAUUAGCUAGUUGGUGAGAUAACAGCCCACCAAGGCGACGAUGGGUAGCCGACCUGAGAGGGUGAUCGGCCACACUGGAACUGAGACACGGUCCAGACUCCUACGGGAGGCAGCAGUGGGGAAUAUUGGGCAAUGGAGGAAACUCCUUACCCAGCAAUGCCGCGUGAGUGAAGAAGGUCUUCGGAUUGUAAAGCUCUUUGAUUGGGGACGAAGAAAGUGACGGUACCCAAAGAACAAGCCCCGGCUAACUACGUGCCAGCAGCAGC
Molecule: ribosomal RNA, 469 nt
Filed under: uncultured bacterium
Lineage: Bacteria
Description: bacterial SSU rRNA
Rfam family: Bacterial small subunit ribosomal RNA
Source: RNAcentral